Molecule: transfer RNA, 73 nt
Filed under: Danio rerio (zebrafish)
Lineage: Eukaryota; Metazoa; Chordata; Actinopteri; Cypriniformes; Danionidae
Description: tRNA-Sup (TTA) (tRNA-Sup-TTA-3-1)
Rfam family: tRNA
About the family: Transfer RNA (tRNA) molecules are approximately 80 nucleotides in length. Their secondary structure includes four short double-helical elements and three loops (D, anti-codon, and T loops).
Source: Rfam by way of RNAcentral
GGCCCAGUGGCCUAAUGGAUAAGGCACCAGCCUUUAAAGCUGGGGAUUGUGGGUUCAAGUCCCACCUGGGAUG